RNAcentral lists this ribosomal RNA (744 nucleotides) under Ralstonia solanacearum. RNAcentral's name for it is "bacterial SSU rRNA". It matches the Rfam family "Bacterial small subunit ribosomal RNA", at positions 41 to 776 of the family's 1533-position model. Lineage: Bacteria; Pseudomonadati; Pseudomonadota; Betaproteobacteria; Burkholderiales; Burkholderiaceae. The record is from RNAcentral.
GGCAUGCCUUACACAUGCAAGUCGAACGGCAGCGGGGGUAGCUUGCUACCUGCCGGCGAGUGGCGAACGGGUGAGUAAUACAUCGGAACGUGCCCUGUAGUGGGGGAUAACUAGUCGAAAGACUAGCUAAUACCGCAUACGACCUGAGGGUGAAAGUGGGGGACCGCAAGGCCUCAUGCUAUAGGAGCGGCCGAUGUCUGAUUAGCUAGUUGGUGGGGUAAAGGCCCACCAAGGCGACGAUCAGUAGCUGGUCUGAGAGGACGAUCAGCCACACUGGGACUGAGACACGGCCCAGACUCCUACGGGAGGCAGCAGUGGGGAAUUUUGGACAAUGGGGGCAACCCUGAUCCAGCAAUGCCGCGUGUGUGAAGAAGGCCUUCGGGUUGUAAAGCACUUUUGUCCGGAAAGAAAUCGCACUGGUUAAUACCUGGUGUGGAUGACGGUACCGGAAGAAUAAGGACCGGCUAACUACGUGCCAGCAGCCGCGGUAAUACGUAGGGUCCAAGCGUUAAUCGGAAUUACUGGGCGUAAAGCGUGCGCAGGCGGUUGUGCAAGACCGAUGUGAAAUCCCCGGGCUUAACCUGGGAAUUGCAUUGGUGACUGCACGGCUAGAGUGUGUCAGAGGGAGGUAGAAUUCCACGUGUAGCAGUGAAAUGCGUAGAGAUGUGGAGGAAUACCGAUGGCGAAGGCAGCCUCCUGGGAUAACACUGACGCUCAUGCACGAAAGCGUGGGGAGCAAACAGG